RNAcentral lists this ribosomal RNA (797 nucleotides) under human gut metagenome. RNAcentral's name for it is "bacterial SSU rRNA". It matches the Rfam family "Bacterial small subunit ribosomal RNA", at positions 185 to 995 of the family's 1533-position model. The record is from RNAcentral.
AUCGCAUGGUCUUCUGGGAAAGCUUUCGCGGUAUGGGAUGGGGUCGCGUCCUAUCAGCUUGAUGGCGGGGUAACGGCCCACCGUGGCUUCGACGGGUAGCCGGCCUGAGAGGGCGACCGGCCACAUUGGGACUGAGAUACGGCCCAGACUCCUACGGGAGGCAGCAGUGGGGAAUAUUGCACAAUGGGCGCAAGCCUGAUGCAGCGACGCCGCGUGAGGGAUGGAGGCCUUCGGGUUGUAAACCUCUUUUAUCGGGGAGCAAGCGAGAGUGAGUUUACCCGUUGAAUAAGCACCGGCUAACUACGUGCCAGCAGCCGCGGUAAUACGUAGGGUGCAAGCGUUAUCCGGAAUUAUUGGGCGUAAAGGGCUCGUAGGCGGUUCGUCGCGUCCGGUGUGAAAGUCCAUCGCUUAACGGUGGAUCCGCGCCGGGUACGGGCGGGCUUGAGUGCGGUAGGGGAGACUGGAAUUCCCGGUGUAACGGUGGAAUGUGUAGAUAUCGGGAAGAACACCAAUGGCGAAGGCAGGUCUCUGGGCCGUCACUGACGCUGAGGAGCGAAAGCGUGGGGAGCGAACAGGAUUAGAUACCCUGGUAGUCCACGCCGUAAACGGUGGAUGCUGGAUGUGGGGACCAUUCCACGGUCUCCGUGUCGGAGCCAACGCGUUAAGCAUCCCGCCUGGGGAGUACGGCCGCAAGGCUAAAACUCAAAGAAAUUGACGGGGGCCCGCACAAGCGGCGGAGCAUGCGGAUUAAUUCGAUGCAACGCGAAGAACCUUACCUGGGCUUGACAUGUUCCCGA